AUACGGAGGGUGCAAGCGUUAUUCGGAAUCACUGGGCGUAAAGGACGCGUAGGCGGGUUGGCAAGUCAGAUGUGAAAUCCUACAGCUUAACUGUAGAACUGCAUUUGAAACUGCUAACCUAGAGUAUGGGAGGGGGAGAUGGAAUUAGUGGUGUAGGGGUAAAAUCCGUAGAUAUCACUAGGAAUACCGAAAGCGAAGGCGAUCUCCUGGAACAUAACUAACGCUAAGGCGUGAAAGCGUGGGGAGCAAACAGGAUUAGAAACCCUAGUAGUCC
RNAcentral lists this ribosomal RNA (274 nucleotides) under uncultured bacterium. RNAcentral describes it as "partial 16S ribosomal RNA". It matches the Rfam family "Bacterial small subunit ribosomal RNA", at positions 523 to 796 of the family's 1533-position model. The record is from RNAcentral.